Molecule: ribosomal RNA, 489 nt
Filed under: Pseudomonas sp. CL3.107
Lineage: Bacteria; Pseudomonadati; Pseudomonadota; Gammaproteobacteria; Pseudomonadales; Pseudomonadaceae
Description: bacterial SSU rRNA
Rfam family: Bacterial small subunit ribosomal RNA
Source: RNAcentral
CCCAUGGCUCAGAUUGAACGCUGGCGGCAGGCCUAACACAUGCAAGUCGAGCGGAUGACAGGAGCUUGCUCCUGAAUUCAGCGGCGGACGGGUGAGUAAUGCCUAGGAAUCUGCCUGGUAGUGGGGGACAACGUUUCGAAAGGAACGCUAAUACCGCAUACGUCCUACGGGAGAAAGCAGGGGACCUUCGGGCCUUGCGCUAUCAGAUGAGCCUAGGUCGGAUUAGCUAGUUGGUGAGGUAAUGGCUCACCAAGGCGACGAUCCGUAACUGGUCUGAGAGGAUGAUCAGUCACACUGGAACUGAGACACGGUCCAGACUCCUACGGGAGGCAGCAGUGGGGAAUAUUGGACAAUGGGCGAAAGCCUGAUCCAGCCAUGCCGCGUGUGUGAAGAAGGUCUUCGGAUUGUAAAGCACUUUAAGUUGGGAGGAAGGGCAGUAACUUAAUACGUUGCCGUCUUGACGUUACCGACAGAAUAAGCACCGGCUAA